RNAcentral lists this ribosomal RNA (429 nucleotides) under Bacteroidota bacterium. RNAcentral's name for it is "Bacteroidetes bacterium partial 16S ribosomal RNA". It matches the Rfam family "Bacterial small subunit ribosomal RNA", at positions 355 to 776 of the family's 1533-position model. The record is from RNAcentral. Lineage: Bacteria; Pseudomonadati; Bacteroidota.
UAGGGAAUCUUCGGCAAUGGGGGGAACCCUGACCGAGCAACGCCGCGUGAGUGAAGAAGGUUUUCGGAUCGUAAAGCUCUGUUGUUAAGGAAGAACGAGUGUGAGAAUGGAAAGUUCAUGCUGUGACGGUACUUAACCAGAAAGGGACGGCUAACUACGUGCCAGCAUCCGCGGUAAUACGUAGGUCCCGAGCGUUGUCCGGAUUUAUUGGGCGUAAAGCGAGCGCAGGCGGUUAGAAAAGUCUGAAGUGAAAGGCAGUGGCUCAACCAUUGUAGGCUUUGGUAACUGUUUAACUUGAGUGCAGAAGUGGAGAGUGGAAUUCCAUGUGUAGCGGUGAAAUGCGUAGAAAUAUGGAGGAACACCGGUGGCGAAAGCGGCUCUCUGGUCUGUAACUGACGCUGAGGCUCGAAAGCGUGGGGAGCGAACAGG